This 555-nucleotide ribosomal RNA is filed under the name uncultured bacterium. RNAcentral describes it as "partial 16S ribosomal RNA". It matches the Rfam family "Bacterial small subunit ribosomal RNA", at positions 355 to 920 of the family's 1533-position model. The record is from RNAcentral.
UGGGGAAUAUUGCACAAUGGGCGAAAGCCUGAUGCAGCGACGCCGCGUGAGGGAUGACGGCCUUCGGGUUGUAAACCUCUUUCAGCAGGGAAGAAGCGAAAGUGACGGUACCUGCAGAAGAAGCGCCGGCUAACUACGUGCCAGCAGCCGCGGUAAUACGUAGGGCGCAAGCGUUGUCCGGAAUUAUUGGGCGUAAAGAGCUCGUAGGCGGUUAGUCGCGUCUGCUGUGAAAACUCGAGGCUCAACCUCGGGCUUGCAGUGGGUACGGGCUGACUAGAGUGCGGUAGGGGUGACUGGAAUUCCUGGUGUAGCGGUGGAAUGCGCAGAUAUCAGGAGGAACACCGAUGGCGAAGGCAGGUCACUGGGCCGCAACUGACGCUGAGGAGCGAAAGCAUGGGGAGCGAACAGGAUUAGAUACCCUGGUAGUCCAUGCCGUAAACGUUGGGCACUAGGUGUGGGGUCCAUUCCACGGAUUCCGUGCCGCAGCAAACGCAUUAAGUGCCCCGCCUGGGGAGUACGGCCGCAAGGCUAAAACUCAAAUGAAUUGACGGGGUU